AACGGCGAAGUGAAGCGGCAAAAGCUCAAAUUUGAAAUCUGGCCCCGUCAGGGGUCCGAGUUGUAAUUUGGAGAGGAUACUUCGGGUGUGGCCGUGGCUUAAGUCCCUUGGAACAGGGCGUCAUAGAGGGUGAGAAUCCCGUCUUGAGUCACCGGUCCACGCCCAUGCGAAGUUCCUUCGACGAGUCGAGUUGUUUGGGAAUGCAGCUCUAAGUGGGUGGUAAAUUUCAUCUAAAGCUAAAUAUUGGCUGGAGACCGAUAGCGCACAAGUAGAGUGAUCGAAAGGUUAAAAGCACCUUGAAAAGGGAGUUAAAUAGCACGUGAAAUUGUUGAAAGGGAAGCGCUUGCAACCAGACUCGAGCGCAGGGUUCAGCGGGCAUGCGUGCCCGUGUACUCCCUGUGCUCGGGCCAGCAUCAGUUUCGGCGGUUGGUUAAAGGCCUCUGGAAUGUAUCGUCCUCCGGGACGUCUUAUAGCCAGAGGCGCAAUGCGGCCAGCCGGGACUGAGGAACGCGCUUCGGCACGGAUGCUGGCAUAAUGGUUGUAAGCGGCCCGUCUUGAAACACGGACCAAGGAGUCUAACAUCCACGCGAGUGUUCGGGUGUCAAACCCGUGCGCGCAGUGAAAGCGAACGGAGGUGGGAGCCCAUCAGGGUGCACCAUCGACCGAUCCUGAAGUCUUCGGAUGGAUUUGAGUAAGAGCGUGGCUGUUGGGACCCGAAAGAUGGUGAACUAUGCCUGAAUAGGGUGAAGCCAGAGGAAACUCUGGUGGAGGCUCGCAGCGGUUCUGACGUGCAAAUCGAUCGUCAAAUUU
This 810-nucleotide ribosomal RNA is filed under the name Uncinocarpus reesii. RNAcentral's name for it is "eukaryotic LSU rRNA". It matches the Rfam family "Eukaryotic large subunit ribosomal RNA", at positions 85 to 912 of the family's 3401-position model. Lineage: Eukaryota; Fungi; Ascomycota; Eurotiomycetes; Onygenales; Onygenaceae. The record is from RNAcentral.